Long non-coding RNA from Acinonyx jubatus (cheetah), 1067 nucleotides. RefSeq lists it as uncharacterized. The transcript has 3 exons. NCBI's taxonomy places the organism in Eukaryota, Metazoa, Chordata, Mammalia, Carnivora, Felidae. The record is from RefSeq and is a predicted model, not a curated record.
ACUAGGCAAGAAAGGAGGGCAGGGAGGCUGCAAGGCCACCACCAGCCCCUCAUUAUAGAGUCACACUUCUGGGGAGGCUAGAAUUAACCAGGGUGUGAAGAUGGACACUGAGCAAAGACAGACCCAACCUCAGCCCAGUCCACCAUGGCAAGGGAAACAAAAGCAAAAAUAAACUAUCGAGUCUGCAUCAAAAUAAAAGGAAAGUGAAGGAAAUCAUCAGCAUAACAAAAAGGUUCCUCUAAACCACCCACUUAGAGUGGUCCCAGUGCACAACGCUGCCUCAGUACUGUCAUGCACUGAGUUGCCUGGAAUGUUCUUUUCCCUCCACAUUUGCCUGCUGAGUACAUGACUGCUCUUCCACAAGCCACUGCAAAGUUGCCUCUCUGUUCCCUCACUCCGGUAAGCAGAGGUGAGCCUACACCUUUCAGCUUCAUUAUACAUCUUCCCACUGUUAGGAUUAUUUAACACAUAAAGACCUCCUACCACUUAACUGGAGGCUCCCUAAGGGCAUUCAUUUUUUAUUCCCAGAACCUAAUACUUUACUCAGCAAUACCAAACCUUAAAUAAAUGUUUUUUGAAUAAACUAAUAGAUGGGUGGGAAAAGAAGGAAAGGAAGCAAGGGAGGAAAGGGAGAAGGAGACAAGGAGAGGAAAAAAGGGAGAGAGGGAGGAGAAAAAGAGAGAGAAGAGAAGAUGAAAAACCACCUUGUGUUCAUGGUGGUUUGUUGCUAAACCAGCAGAUGCUGUAAUGUAAAGCUGAGUGGUCAGCCCCAGACACAUGAUCAUCUAUUCAGUGAUUUCUUUUGAAGACUCUACUGUUUGCUACUGCAACGUUUUCUUGAAGAUGCUGCCACAAGGAAGAAAAUAUGGGCCUUCCCAACCAGACUUGGGGGAUGUUUUAAAAGCCUUUAUUUGGGCACCUCCAGUCACAGACUUGGUAGUGUGGUGGAGGAGAGCAGCAGAGAAAACAGUUAGUGGGACUGAACAGCCUCAAAAUUACCUGGUUUCAAAUGUGUUUAUGCUCCUUUCCAACACAUUUUCAAGGCCAUCUGUGGCACUGAAUGUUUU